GAGACAGCCUCAUGAGUUGCAUUUGGAAGGAAAAGGAAAAGUGAAGUUGACUGUCACAGAGCCUGAAACCACACGAGCUACUGAAGAGGAGACACUUGAAGAAAAACUAGCUCCCACAGAGGCUCUGGAUGCCAUGAGCAACCUUCAAACAAAAGAGAGUUUUGUUCCAAGCAGCGAACUCCAGGAAGAAGCUGGCUCUGCAGAGACCUCACCUUUGGUGGUGUUUGAGAACAUACAAAAAUGCAGUCCAAACUGCUUACGUUUGCUGUUGGAGAACAUCAGCAGCCUGACUGUAGAUGAGGACUUCACUGUGGAAGUGAUACCUGAAAUAAAUGUUGCUGUAGCUACCUUUAUACAAAGUCUUGGUAAGAGAGGGGGACACCAUCAUUCAUCACCGU
Molecule: long non-coding RNA, 398 nt
Organism: Manacus vitellinus (golden-collared manakin)
Lineage: Eukaryota; Metazoa; Chordata; Aves; Passeriformes; Pipridae
Source: Ensembl